RNAcentral lists this ribosomal RNA (432 nucleotides) under uncultured bacterium. RNAcentral describes it as "partial 16S ribosomal RNA". It matches the Rfam family "Bacterial small subunit ribosomal RNA", at positions 30 to 507 of the family's 1533-position model. The record is from RNAcentral.
GCGAACGCUGGCGGCAGGCUUAACACCUGCAAGUCGAGCGGGCCCUUCGGGGUCAGCGGCGGACGGGUGAGUAACGCGUGGGAACGUGCCUUCUGGUCUGGAAUAACCCUGGGAAACUAGGGCUAAUACCGGAUACGCCCUUUUGGGGAAAGGUUUACUGCCGGAAGAUCGGCCCGCGUCUGAUUAGCUAGUUGGUGGGGUAACGGCCUACCAAGGCGACGAUCAGUAGCUGGUCUGAGAGGAGGGUCAGCCACACUGGGACUGAGACACGGCCCAGACUCCUACGGGAGGCAGCGGGGGGGAGUAUUGGACAAGGGGCGCGAGUCUGAUGCAGCCAUGCCGCGUGAGAGAUGAAGGCCUUAGGGUUGUAAAGCCCUUUUAUCCGGGACGAUAAUGACGGUACCGGAGGAAUAAGCCCCGGCUAACUUCGUG